RNAcentral lists this ribosomal RNA (499 nucleotides) under uncultured archaeon. Its description in RNAcentral is "bacterial SSU rRNA". It matches the Rfam family "Archaeal small subunit ribosomal RNA", at positions 345 to 850 of the family's 1478-position model. The record is from RNAcentral.
AACCUCUGCAAUGCACGAAAGUGUGACAGGGGAACUCCACGUGCUUACAUUAGUAAGCUUUUCCCAAGUUUAAAACGCUUGGGGAAUAAGGGCUGGGCAAGACCCGUGCCAGCCGCCGCGGUAACACGGGCAGCUCAAGCGGCGUUCGCGUAUAUUGGGCCUAAAGCGUGCGUAGCCCGUCCUUCAAGUUUCUGGUGAAAGCCUGCGACUCAAUCGUGGGAAGUGCCAGGAAAACUGAUGGACUUGGGACCGGAAGAGGUCGGAGGUAUUUCUGGGGUAGGGGUAAAAUCCUGUAAUCCUAGAAGGACCAUCGGUGGCGAAGGCGUCCGACUGGGACGGGUCCGACGGUGAGGCACGAAAGCUAGGGGAGCGACCCGGAUUAGAUACCCGGUUAGUCCUAGCCGUAAAUGAUGUCUGUUUGGUAUUGCGUAGCUUACGAGGCUGCGCAGUGCCGGAGGGAAGCCGUUAAACAGACCGCCUGGGAGUACGCCGCAAGGCU